Molecule: long non-coding RNA, 399 nt
Organism: Nylanderia fulva
Lineage: Eukaryota; Metazoa; Arthropoda; Insecta; Hymenoptera; Formicidae
Source: RefSeq, a predicted model, not a curated record
AUUCGUUUAUGCAGCGAUUAGCGCAUCCACUGCGCAUCUACUGCGUCUAUUAUCUGCGAGUCACGUGACAUCAUUUACCGAACGAUCACCUGCGUGAAUUGACUGCUCAGAUUGUAAUUGGAGUGCACAACGUUUCCAAGUUCAAUUGGCUUAACAAUGGAGAAGACUACAUUCGUUUACGCAGUAGUCCGCAGUACUGCGAGCAGAGCAUCCUGAGCAGGACCUCCGAGAUGGCUGCGCAGAUAGGCAGCAGCUCUGCUUAAACGAACAACAAACUGCGCUGCAGUCGGUUGCGCAGGUGGAGUAAACGAACGACAUCUGCGGCAUUCUGCGGCAGUCUCUGCAUAAACGAAUGCACCCAUAUACAAUUUCCAAAAAAUUCUCGAGAGUUGAAGUAGG